This 392-nucleotide transfer-messenger RNA is filed under the name Candidatus Nealsonbacteria bacterium CG_4_8_14_3_um_filter_39_7. It matches the Rfam family "transfer-messenger RNA". From Rfam's summary of the family: Bacterial tmRNA, also known as 10Sa RNA or SsrA, is named for its dual tRNA and mRNA-like properties. Its role is to liberate the mRNA from a stalled ribosome. To accomplish this part of the tmRNA is used as a reading frame that ends in a translation stop signal. The record is from RNAcentral. RNAcentral also lists the same sequence under 3 other names. Lineage: Bacteria; Candidatus Nealsoniibacteriota.
GGGGAUGAAUGUUUUGAUGAAAAACUGAUUCAAAACAAGCAAGCCAAGUCGCUGAAUCUUGUAAAAAAUCAGCAAAAAAGUAAGUGUAAACUCAUUUACAAAAGUUAAAGACGCGUUUGUUUCUGCUUUCAGCGGAAGAAUGGCUUUAGCUCCUGUCUGCGCUUAAAAACCGUAGGCCAUCUGACUUAUUAAUUCUCGCUAAAUAAAAUCAGGUGUCAUAUCAGCGAGAUGGGCGGUAUUCUCCGAAUGCAGGAAUUCCGCUAAGACAAUUGCAUUCAAGGCACAGGAAUUUUGCUUAGUUUAUAGCCUGCGCCCCUUAAAAACUAAGCUAAGCUUGUAGAAUUGUUUUGGAAAAUUUUUCAGACGCGGGUUCAAUCCCGCCAUCUCCACAA